UGUUCAGCGAGGGGACAGGGAUUAUCUAGAGGUUCUGGUGGACUAGCUAGCUGGGGUCUGUUCAGCGAGGGGACAGGGAUUAUCUAGAGGUUCUGGUGGACUAGCUAGCUGGGGUCUGUUCAGCGAGGGGACAGGGAUUAUCUAGAGAUUCUGGUGGACUAGCUAGCUGGGGUCUGUUCAGCGAGGGGACAGGGAUUAUCUAGAGGUUCUGGUGGACUAGCUAGCUGGGGUCUGUUCAGCGAGGGGACAGGGAUUAUCUAGAGGUUCUGGUGGACUAGCUAGCUGGGGUCUGUUCAGCGAGGGGACAGAGAUUAACUAGAGGUUCUGGUGGACUAGCUAGCUGGGGUCUGUUCAGCGAGGGGACAGGGAUUAUCUAGAGGUUCUGGUGUACAGUAGACUAGCUAGCUGGGGUCUGUUCAGCGAGGGAAUAGGGAUUAACUAGAGGUUCUGGUGGACUAGCUAGCUGGGGUCUGUUCAGCGAGGGGACAGGGAUUAUCUAGAGGUUCUGGUGGACUAGCUAGCUAGGGUCUGUUCAGCGAGGGGACAGGGAUUAUCUAGAGGUUCUGGUGGACUAGCUAGCUGGGGUCUGUUCAGCGAGGGGACAGGGAUUAUCUAGAGGUUCUGGUGGACUAGCUAGCUGGGGUCUGUUCAGCGAGGGAACAGGGAUUAUCUAGAGGUUCUGGUGGACUAGCUAGCUGGGGUCUGUUCAGCGAGGGGACAGGGAUUAUCUAGAGGUUCUGGUGGACUAGCUAGCUAGGGUCUGUUCAGCGAGGGGACAGGGAUUAUCUAGAGGUUCUGGUGGACUAGCUAGCUGGGGUCUGUUCAGCGAGGGGACAGGGAUUAUCUAGAGGUUCUGGUGUACAGUAGACUAGCUAGCUGGGGUCUGUUCAGCGAGGGGAAAGGGAUUAUCUAGAGGUUCUGGUGGACUAGCUAGCUGGGGUCUGUUCAGCGAGGGAACAGGGAUUAACUAGAGGUUCUGGUGGACUAGCUAGCUGGGGUCUGUUCAGCGAGGGGACAGGGAUUAUCUAGAGGUUCUGGUGGACUAGCUAGCUGGGGUCUGUUCAGCGAGGGAACAGGGAUUAUCUAGAGGUUCUGGUGUAGACUAGCUAGCUGGGGUCUGUUCAGCGAGGGAACAGGGAUUAACUAGAGGUUCUGGUGUAGACUAGCUAGCUGGGGGCCGGUUCAGCGAGGGGACAGGGAUUAACUAGAGGUUCUGGUGUAGACUAGCUAGCUGGGGUCUGUUCAGCGAGGGGACAGGGAUUAACUAGAGGUUCUGGUGUAGACUAGCUAGCUGGGGUCUGUUCAGCGAGGGAACAGGGAUUAACUAGAGGUUCUGGUGUAGACUAGCUAGCUGGGGUCUGUUCAGCGAGGGAACAGGGAUUAACUAGAGGUUCUGGUGUAGACUAGCUAGCUGGGGUCUGUUCAGCGAGGGAACAGGGAUUAACUAGAGGUUCUGGUGUAGACUAGCUAGCUGGGGUCUGUUCAGCGAGGGGACAGGGGUUAACUAGAGGUUCUGGUGUACAGUAGACUAGCUAGCUGGGGUCUGUUCAGCGAGGGGACAGGGAUUAUCUAGAGGUUCUGGUGUACAGUAGACUAGCUAGCUGGGGUCUGUUCAGCGAGGGAACAGGGAUUAUCUAGAGGUUCUGGUGGACUAGCUAGCUGGUGUCUGUUCAGCGAGGGGACAGGGAUUAACUAGAGGUUCUGGUGGACUAGCUAGCUGGUGUCUGUUCAGCGAGGGGACAGGGAUUAACUAGAGGUUCUGGUGUACAGUAGACUAGCUAGCUGGGGUCUGUUCAGCGAGGGAACAGGGAUUAACUAGAGGUUCUGGUGGACUAGCUAGCUGGUGUCUGUUCAGCGAGGGGACAGGGAUUAACUAGAGGUUCUGGUGUACAGUAGACUAGCUAGCUGGGGUCUGUUCAGCGAGGGGACAGGGAUUAUCUAGAGGUUCUGGUGUACAGUAGACUAGCUAGCUGGGGUCUGUUCAGCGAGGGAACAGGGAUUAACUAGAGGUUCUGGUGGACUAGCUAGCUGGGGUCUGUUCAGCGAGGGGACAGGGAUUAACUAGAGGUUCUGGUGUACAGUAGACUAGCUAGCUGGGGUCUGUUCAGCGAGGGGACAGAGAUUAUCUAGAGGUUCUGGUGG
Molecule: long non-coding RNA, 2142 nt
Organism: Oncorhynchus gorbuscha (pink salmon)
Lineage: Eukaryota; Metazoa; Chordata; Actinopteri; Salmoniformes; Salmonidae
Exons: 3
Source: RefSeq, a predicted model, not a curated record